Long non-coding RNA from Marmota monax (woodchuck), 5137 nucleotides. RefSeq lists it as uncharacterized. NCBI's taxonomy places the organism in Eukaryota, Metazoa, Chordata, Mammalia, Rodentia, Sciuridae. The record is from RefSeq and is a predicted model, not a curated record. The transcript is spliced from 3 exons.
ACCCAGAGGACACCAGUCAGCCCUCGGGCCCAGGUGCUGCCUCCUGGCUGCGGGCCCAUGGCCAGGGGCCUCCAUCUGCUGGGCACCCAGCUUCCAUCCGUGAACCCUGCAGCUUCUGUGCUCCCAUUUCCCAGAUGUGGUGACUGAGGUUCGCAGAGGCAGCACCAGAGCUCGAGGCUCCUGACCGUGAAACACUUGUUCUUUGCAAAGGGCUCACUCCUGUGUGACUGUUCUAUCUGCGCCUUGAACAUUUGCCAGACUUCCAGCCCCAUAAUCCUCACACCCUUGUCCUCAUGAGCCAUUUGCUCAGCUGUGCGUCCUGUACCCACUACGGACUGUGAAGUGUCUUGCAAGCUACCAGGUGAGCCUGCCACCGUUCCACAAAUGCCGACAGACGCCAUGAGGCUCCUGGGGCAGACACAAAGGACAGUUAAUGACUCGUGACAGGAAUCAAAACACGACCAUUUUUGCACGUCAGUGUCCCGAGGGCAACAUAACCAGGGCCAGGCGGGACCUUGUACUGCAGACAAGAGAGGAACCCUGAACUGAGGGAGCCUGAACUCUUACAGUAGGCAGCAAGAGUUCCUGCCAUUUGCUGUGGAGGGAGAGUGGCUCUCAAUUUCCAGGCUGUUCCAUUGUAGCAUACCGACUAGCACCCUCCAGAGCCUUCCAUCCAUCUGGAACCUAUGAAUGUUGCCUUUGUUUGGAAACCGAGUCUUUGCAGAUAUAACAUCAAAUCAAGAUGCAUGACGGGGCAGGGGCGGGGGGUCCUUAAUUCAAUAUGGCUGCCGCCAUUAUGAGAGGGGAAAUGGACAGAGAAGAAAGAGGUCACGUGACAAUGGAGGCAGCGGUUGGAGUAACACUGCAGCACACCCAGGCAGCUCAAGGACUGCAGAGGCUGGAAGAGACCAGGACGGAUCCUCCCUUGGGGCCAUCAGAGCAUGGCCCUGACCACUCCUCCACCUCAGACUUCUGGCCUCCAGAACCAUGAUGCGUUCCUGUUGUUUGAAGCCCCUGGUUUGUGGUCAUUUACUAUUGCAGCCCUAGAAACAGAGUUCAUCAUUAUACAAAAUCCUUGAAAAGACAGUCUAGGUCAAAGGGCAACUGGGGCCUCGUUCACAACUGACACAGAAACCGGGAAGGCUGUGGAGCGUCCUCCCCAACACUCCCAGUGACCACACAUCAGGACUGAAGCCUCAGCGGUGUGCUGUCCUCCCCCUCUCUGUCUAUUAUGACUUUAUCUUGUCUUUUGGGGACCUCACCCUUGCUGCGAAUGGCUCAUCAUGCCAUCCCCACCCCCAUAAGGGAGAUUCUAAUACGAUCUAUCAUUGCCCCAUAAUGGACUUCCACCCAAGAUGGUUUGGAAAAAGGGAAGCACAUAUUUAAAAACUUAAAAAGCUGGAAUAUCAGGCUGGGUAGUGGCUCCGUGGUGGAGCACUUACCUAGCACAUGUAAAGCACUGGGUUCUAUUCUUAACACCACAUAAAAAGAUGUAUUUUUUAAAAAAAGGUGGAAUAUCUAGGCCCCACCCUACAGCUGACAUUGGAUAGCGGGUGAAGGGCUUGUCAAGGCCAAGAGCAAGUUGGAAGCAGUUGGUCAGUGCGAACUCCUGCCCCCCCUGAGAGCUGCCUUCUGUGUAGGUCACCAGUUUCUACCAAAGUAGGGUCAGAUCAGAAGACAGAGAGAUCACAGGGUGGGCUCAGCUGUUGGACACAGAGAACUGGAGCGUGGCUGAGGCCAACCAGGGGCACAGCCUACAUGGUGGAUGCACAGAGCACAUGUUUAACAAGCAGCAGCCUCUGACCACCUCCACCCUUGUCCCCUCUCUGCCUGCAGAAAACUUAACCCCAUCGUAGCUCCCAGGCCUCACAUCCACAUCAGCAGGUUUCCAUCAUAGUCUCAAGUGCCAUCAGGCCAACAUGUGGUCUUAGAAAGCCCGCUGAAACAUGGCCCCCUACUCAACUGCCAGGGCAGGGCUUUCUCUGUUCUACUCCCCAGACCAGCAGGUGCAAUACCACGUGUUGACAGGACACUUGUGCCAGGUCAGGGCCUGCUGUUCUGCUCAGCCAGCACGUUUAUGCCCUAUGCACCUGCCAAGGCUCUGUGGUCACGGCACAAUUCAAUCCUGGUGGCAAAUGUUCAGAGGACAUUACAUUAGUUUAUUUAUAUGUAAGGAGCCCAGAGCUCAGAGAGUCAGGUCUGCAGCUGGAAUGUGACCAUGCAGAAAGUGCGCCUGGAAUCCAAUUUUCUGGGACAAGAGUCUGUAGCAUCGACAUACACCAUAAACAUGAAGACAACCGGAGCCCCCCACAAUUGCAGGAGGAAACAGGUCACAGCAUAAUUCUGAGCCAGUUUGCCGCAUGAUGAAGAGAAAUGUGGUUUCCUGUCCCACCAGUCCUUUUGCUCCUGACAUGGGGUUGAGAAAUCCCUGCAGGCAGCAGGAAGAGAGGACACAGAGGUGGGCGAUGGCCUGAGGUAAUACAGGACUGUCCUGGGGCUGGUGGUGGGAUGGGACAGUCACCAAGGCAUGCCAGCACCAGGUAUAAGGGGGCCUUACAGGCCAGUCACAGAGGCAGGCUUUAUGCUGGGGGCAAUGUAAGUGGCCGAUAGACCUUGAGCUUGGGAGGGAUGGCGCCCGGAGGAGUUGAGGUUGGAAAGAGAAGGGGCGUGAGGAGAUAAGGAAGGUUCUGGAAAGAAUGUGAACUGGACUGAGUCAAGGCAGAGGCCUGGGGCUGAGAGCUGGCCAUGCUGUAAACGCUGGUGAGAAAUGUCUCCCCCAGGUAGGACACAGAAGGAAAAUAUGGAUAGGGAUUAAAUGGCAGGUUCCCAGAGCUGUUCAGAGAAGUGGGCGUGAGGAAGCCGGGUCAGCGGGCUCCAGGGAGGGCUGACCAGACAGCCCCAGCAACUGCCAUUUCUGGGGUACGUGCUGGGCCUGUGCAGGAGGCAGGAGCAGAGGGUGAAGAGGAUUUGCAGGGCUGCUGCUGGGGGGCUGGGUGGGGGCCGUGGCCCAGGAGAGCCCCGAGGGUAAAGCCAAAGUGCUCAGCCCAUGAGCCCCCCUUACCAACCUACCCCCAGCUUUUGCUGAAAAGCCACAUGGGAAUGGGGAGAGGAGGGUCCAGCACAGUUCAGGAGGUUCAUGGUGCUUGGAUUCCAGGAAUCUGCUGAGCCGAGUCUGAAGGUGAAUUGUGUUGACCUGAGCAGCCCGUGCUCGGUCCUCCCAUCCCCCUGGACCCAGGGAAGAGCUCAGCCCCUGCCCUGGAAGUGGCCCUGGACGGGAGGGCCGGCUGGCUGGAGGGGAGCCCGAUCCAAGGAGGCAGUGGCUGAAAGUGGGUGUUACACCCUUCCUUAAUGAAUAACAGGGACCCUGAGCGAUGGCCACACUCCGCGUUUCCCUGGGAGUGCAGCCAUGAGUUAGGAGCCGACAGACAGCAGGGAACCGCGACCUCGACCAGGAGAAGAAACAGGCGAUAGAAAUAGACCCACACGUGACCAGACCGAGAUCAUCCUACAGGGACCUUAAAAUGACUCCUACAAACACACUGAACUCUUUACUGUACCCCCCAAAUGACACUGUGGAUAACAGUUGGAGGAAUUUCAUGAAAAAAAUCAAACCUCUAAAUCUCUUCUCUGCGGAAGAGUGUGGCACAGGGAAGCAGCUCACAUGGUGAUCAGGAAGCAGAGACAGAGAGAGAUUUAAUUCCAUUAGAUCCCUUCCGUACCAUAGAUAAUAAAAACAAACAUUAUGGACGUAGGGACGCGAGAGCCGGAUGCAGGUUGGCUAGCCUAGAUUACUAUGUUUGCCAAACAGACUAUCGAAGCCACAAACAGUCACGGCUGUGUGGGGGAAAAGCCGGCUUCUUCUGUAAGUCAUAGGGCUGUGAGCAUACAGGGGCUACCUGGUGGAACCCAAACCUCCACCGGUUCUCAGACCAUUGCCCCCUUGCUAAAAUAACAGGUACUGAGGUACCCCUCCACCCACUCACUCCUCUCUUCUCCUGUCAAUGCCCACACUGGGUCCCACCAGGUCCUCUUACCAGCUAACCCAAAGCUCAAACCAGCUGAGGAGAGCCCUCAGACCCCUAUUCAAGAUGUAAUAAAAAUGGCCUCUAAAGUUACUUUGUCAUCACUAAAAACAGGUUACUAAAAAUUUAAAGUCCCUCACAGGCUUUUUAAGAUACUCACUCCAGUCUUCCCCUCUGCUCUACCUCUUCUACUACUCAAGUUUUUGUUGCUAAAAAAAAUCCCAAAGCCCUUUCCCAUUAUUCUUUUACAUCUCUCCUUCCUCAUUCUCAGAUCCACGGAGCUGCUCUCAGCACCGCCUUCCCCGUCUUCCCCCUCUGUACCAGGCCCACAGAAAAGUCUUAACUGACCUGCUCACUUAGACUCUAGGACCUUGGAGAAGGCCUAUAGCCUACUUAUCUAAAAAGCUGGACCCAAUGGCUAAUGGAUGGCCCCAUUGCCUAAAAACUAUAACAGCGGCGGCCCUACUAAUCAAGGAUGCUGAUAAGUUAACGCUGGGGCAGAAGCUAACCGUUAUAGCCCCCCAUGCCCUAGAGAGCAUCAUCCGCCAGCCACCAGACAGAUGGCUAUCAAACUCUAGAAUAACACACUAUCAGAGCCUGUUGCUUGACAAGGACAGAAUAAUACUGGGACCCCCCCGCCCCGCUUAACCCGGCUACACUACUACCUGAACAAUCAUCAGAACCCGUCACUCAUGACUGUCAACAUAUACUGGCAGAAGAAACCAGUAUACGACGGGAUUUCAAAGAUCAGCCACUGCCCCACCCUAAGGUCAUAUGGAUCACUGAUGGCAGCAGCUUUCUCCAGGACGAUACAUUUUCAGGAUGGAUUGAAGCCUUCCCCACAAAACAAAAGAAACGACACAAAUGGUGGUCAAAAAGAUCCUAAAAGAUAUUUUUCCAAGAUGCGGCGUGCCUAAGGUAAUAGGAUCUGAUAAUGGACCAUCGUUCAUGGCCCAAAUAAGUCAGGGGUUAACCAGGACCCUGGGGAUUAAUUGAAAAGAGAGAGAGGGAGAGAUCUCCACUUGCCCAAUGUAAACAUACACCCCAAAGCCCCACUCCUCCAGCCACACCCACCUGCCUUCAGUUAUCCCUCACUUAAUCCCAUCAGGUGGUUG